Molecule: ribosomal RNA, 700 nt
Filed under: uncultured bacterium
Lineage: Bacteria
Description: bacterial SSU rRNA
Rfam family: Bacterial small subunit ribosomal RNA
Source: RNAcentral
UGCAGUCGAACGAUGAUGCUGGAGCUUGCUCCAGUUGAUUAGUGGCGAACGGGUGAGUAACACGUGAGCAAUCUGCCCUUGACUCUGGGAUAACUGCGGGAAACUGUAGCUAAUACCGGAUACUUUCACCGGAAGGCAUCUUCUGGUGAUGAAAGAAUUUCGGUCAGGGAUGAGCUCGCGGCCUAUCAGCUUGUUGGUGAGGUAACGGCUCACCAAGGCGACGACGGGUAGCCGGCCUGAGAGGGUGACCGGCCACACUGGGACUGAGACACGGCCCAGACUCCUACGGGAGGCAGCAGUGGGGAAUAUUGCACAAUGGGCGCAAGCCUGAUGCAGCAACGCCGCGUGAGGGAUGAAGGCCUUCGGGUUGUAAACCUCUUUUAGCAGGGAAGAAGCGAAAGUGACGGUACCUGCAGAAAAAGCACCGGCUAACUACGUGCCAGCAGCCGCGGUAAUACGUAGGGUGCAAGCGUUGUCCGGAAUUAUUGGGCGUAAAGAGCUCGUAGGCGGUUUGUCACGUCUGCUGUGAAAAUCCAAGGCUCAACCUUGGACUUGCAGUGGGUACGGGCAGGCUGGAGUGCGGUAGGGGAGAUGGGAAUUCCUGGUGUAGCGGUGGAAUGCGCAGAUAUCAGGAGGAACACCAAUGGCGAAGGCACAUCUCUGGGCCGUAACUGACGCUGAGGAGCGAAAGCGUGGGGAG